RNAcentral lists this ribosomal RNA (292 nucleotides) under uncultured bacterium. Its description in RNAcentral is "partial 16S ribosomal RNA". It matches the Rfam family "Bacterial small subunit ribosomal RNA", at positions 505 to 796 of the family's 1533-position model. The record is from RNAcentral.
GUGCCAGCCGCCGCGGUAAUACGGAGGAUCCAAGCGUUAUCCGGAUUUAUUAGGUUUAAAGGGUGCGCAGGCGGCCCUAUAAGUCAGUGGUGAAAGUUUGCGGCUUAACCGUAAAAUUGCCAUUGAUACUGUAGGGCUUGAAUAUGGUAGAGGUAGGCGGAAUGUGUAGUGUAGCGGUGAAAUGCUUAGAUAUUACACAGAACACCGAUUGCGAAGGCAGCUUACUAUGCCAUGAUUGACGCUGAGGCACGAAAGCGUGGGUAGCGAACAGGAUUAGAUACCCCGGUAGUCC